AUUCAGCAAUGGAUAACUGAGUGGCGAACGGGUGAGUAACACGUGGGUGACCUACCUUCGAGUGGGGGAUAACGUCCCGAAAGGGACGCUAAUACCGCAUAACAUCCUGCCUUUGAACAGGCGGUGAUCAAAGCCGGGGACCGUAAGGCCCGGCGCUUGAUGAGGGGCCCGCGUCUGAUUAGCUAGUUGGUGAGGUAAUGGCCCACCAAGGCGACGAUCAGUAUCCGGCCUGAGAGGGCGGACGGACACACUGGGACUGAGACACGGCCCAGACUCCUACGGGAGGCAGCAGUGGGGAAUUGUUCACAAUGGGCGCAAGCCUGAUGACGCAACGCCGCGUGGAGGAUGAAGGUCUUCGGAUUGUAAACUCCUGUUGCCCGGGACGAAAAGCUCUGACCUAACACGUCGGAGUCUGACGGUACCGGGUGAGGAAGCCCCGGCUAACUCUGUGCCAGCAGCCGCGGUAAUACAGAGGGGGCAAGCGUUGUUCGGAAUUACUGGGCGUAAAGGGCGCGUAGGCGGCCUUCUAAGUCGAACGUGAAAUCCCCGGGCUCAACCCGGGAACUGCGUCCGAUACUGGAAGGCUUGAAUCCGGGAGAGGGAUGUGGAAUUCCAGGUGUAGCGGUGAAAUGCGUAGAUAUCUGGAGGAACACCGGUGGCGAAGGCGACAUCCUGGACCGGUAUUGACGCUGAGGCGCGAAAGCCAGGGGAGCAAACGGGAUUAGAUACCCCGGUAGUCCUGGCCCUAAACGAUGAAUGCUUGGUGUGGCGGGUAUCGAUCCCUGCCGUGCCG
This 793-nucleotide ribosomal RNA is filed under the name uncultured Acidobacteriota bacterium. RNAcentral's name for it is "bacterial SSU rRNA". It matches the Rfam family "Bacterial small subunit ribosomal RNA", at positions 74 to 848 of the family's 1533-position model. The record is from RNAcentral. Lineage: Bacteria; Pseudomonadati; Acidobacteriota.